This 253-nucleotide ribosomal RNA is filed under the name uncultured bacterium. RNAcentral describes it as "partial 16S ribosomal RNA". It matches the Rfam family "Bacterial small subunit ribosomal RNA", at positions 524 to 776 of the family's 1533-position model. The record is from RNAcentral.
UACGUAGGGGGCAAGCGUUGUCCGGAGUUACUGGGCGUAAAGCGCACGCAGGCGGUCUUUUAAGUUUGGAGUGACAGUUGGUGGCUUAACUGCCAAAGUGCUUCGAAAACUGACAGACUUGAGGGCUUCAGAGGGACACGGAAUUCCGGGUGGAGUGGUGAAAUGCGUAGAGAUCCGGAGGAACACCAAAGGCGAAGGCGGUCUGCUGGGCAGUUUCUGACACUGAGGCGCGACAGCGUGGGGAGCAAACAGG